AUUCCACCUAUGGUACAAAACCGUGAGACUCAACAUGAGGUAGGCCAAAGUGGACAAUUCCUCUAAUAGUUGGAGCAAGGACGUUAUAGAUGGUAUCAGAGCCGAACCCCCUCUAGUAGAUGUGUAGUUCGAUGACAAAUCAAGCGGAAGCUGGUGGGCCUGUUAUGACCCGACCCGGAAAAGCUGUCUAAUGAGGGCGGAGAGUGGCAUAAGAGAAUUAACUCCUGGCAGGCUUCUAGGAUGGCGAGGCUACCUAGGGUAAUGGAAUGCGG
This 272-nucleotide unclassified non-coding RNA is filed under the name Hevea brasiliensis (rubber tree). Lineage: Eukaryota; Viridiplantae; Streptophyta; Magnoliopsida; Malpighiales; Euphorbiaceae. The record is from RNAcentral.